This 305-nucleotide ribosomal RNA is filed under the name uncultured bacterium. Its description in RNAcentral is "bacterial SSU rRNA". It matches the Rfam family "Bacterial small subunit ribosomal RNA", at positions 337 to 658 of the family's 1533-position model. The record is from RNAcentral.
UCCUACGGGGGGCAGCAGUGGGGAAUAUUGCACAAUGGGGGAAACCCUGAUGCAGCGACGCCGCGUGGGCGACGAAGCGCUCCGGCGCGUAAAGCCCUGUCAGCAGGGAAGAACAAAGACAGUACCUGACCAAGAAGCCCCGGCUAACUACGUGCCAGCAGCCGCGGUAAUACGUAGGGGGCAAGCGUUAUCCGGAUUUACUGGGUGUAAAGGGAGCGUAGACGGCAGGGCAAGUCUGGAGUGAAAGCCCGGGGCCCAACCCCGGGACUGCUUUGGAAACUGCCAUGCUAGAGUGCCGGAGAGGG